GCAUCAGUUUACAGACGGGAGGAACACAGGUGUGUGGGUGAGGGUGAGUUAGGAAGUGAGUGAGUUAGGGAGUGAGGGUGUGUUGUCUGCAGUUUGUCUUCAGCUUGUCAACCUGACAUCGCCUCUAUACCUUCCAGACGAAAGGAUAUUUACUUUUUUCAAAUCCUCUCAAGCUCUGUCAGGUUGGAUGGGGAGCGUCGCUGCACAGCUAAUUUCAGGUGACUCUAGAGAUGUUCGAUCGGGUUCAAGUCCGGACUGGCCGUGCCACUCAAGGACAUUCAAAGACUUGUCCCAUUGCCACUCCUGCAUUGUCUUGACUGUUUGCUUAGGGUCAUUGCCCUGAGCGCUCUGGAGGUUUUCAUCCAGGAUCUCACUGUACUUUGCUCUGUUCAUCUUUCCGUCGAUCCUGACUAGUCUCUCAGUCCCUGCCGCUGAAAAACAUCCCCACAGCAUGCUGCCACCACCAGGCUUCACCGUAAAGAUGGUGCCAGGUUUCCUCCAGAUGUGACACUUGGCAUUCAGGCCAAAGAGUUCAAUCUUGGUUUCAUCAGACCAGAGAAUCUUGUUUCUCAUGGUCUGAGGUGUCUUUAGGUGCCUUUUACUGAGGAGUAGUUUCCGUCUGGCCACUCUAUCAUAAAGGCCAGAAUGGUGGAGUGCUGCAGAGAUGGUUGUCCUUCUGGAAGAUUCUCCCAUCUCCAAAGAGGAACUCUGGAGCUCCGUCAGAGUGACCAUCAGGUUCUUGGUCACCUCCCUGAUCAAGACCCUUCACCCCGAUUGCUCAGUUUGGCUGGGCUGCCAGCUCUAAGAAGAGUCUUGGUGGUUCCAAACUUCUUCCAUUUAAGAAUGAUGGAGGCCACUGUGUUCUUGGGGACCUUUCAAUGCCUCAGAAAUGUUUUGGUAUGCUUCCCCAGAUCUGUGCCUCGACACAAUACUGUCUCGGAGCUCUACGGACAAUUCCUUCGACCUCAUGGCUUGGUUUUGCUCUGACAUUCACUGUCAACUGUGGGACCUCGUACACAGGUGUGUGCCUUUCCAAAUCAUGUGCAAUCAAUUGAAUAUACCACAGGUGGACUCCAAUCAAUUUGUAGAAACAUCUCAAUGAUGUGAAAUGGAAACAGGAUGCACCUGCGCUAAAUUUCAAGUCUCAUAGCAAAGGGUCUGAAUACUAAUGUAAAUAAGGUAUCUGUUUUUGUCAUUAUGGGGUAUUGCGUGUAGAUUGACGAAUAAAACAAUUCAUUUAAUCCAUUUUAGAAUAAGGCUGUAAUAUAACACAAUGUGGAAAAACUUAAAGGGUCUGAAUACUUCCCGAAUGCACUAUAUAUUACAUUUUAGAUGCUUGCUAAUGACCUUUGCGCUUGGAGUCACCCUGUGAGAGAGUUUGUUAUGUUAACAAUGUCCCAUGCUGCAGCAAAAGUACUACUGAAGGUCCCAUUUUAAAAAAAUUUCAGGGACGUGAAUCUACUAUUCCAAGCCCAAUUUUAAUUGUUGUAGCUCUUACUUCUCAUGAUAAUGUAAAUGUUACAUUCUUGGUCGUUGUUGCCAUGUGUUAGUGGGCACUUUAUUACGUUACACAACAAGACAAAGGUCC
Molecule: long non-coding RNA, 1588 nt
Filed under: Salmo salar (Atlantic salmon)
Lineage: Eukaryota; Metazoa; Chordata; Actinopteri; Salmoniformes; Salmonidae
Description: lncRNA (ENSSSAG00000102871.1)
Source: RNAcentral